GUGGGGAAUAUUGGGCAAUGGGCGAAAGCCUGACCCAGCAACGCCGCGUGAAGGAAGAAGGUUUUCGGAUCGUAAACUUCUAUCCUUGGUGAAGAUAAUGACGGUAGCCAAGAAGGAAGCCCCGGCUAACUAAGUGCCAGCAGCCGCGGUAAUACGUAGGGGGCAAGCGUUGUCCGGAAUGAUUGGGCGUAAAUGGCGCGUAGGCGGACCGGUAAGUCUGAAGUGAAAGUCCUGCUUUUAAGGUGGGAAGUGCAUUGGAUACUGUCGGGCUUGAGUGCAGGAGAGGUAAGCGGAAUUCCCGGUGUAGCGGUGAAAUGCGUAGAGAUCGGGAGGAACACCAGUGGCGAAGGCGGCUUACUGGACUGUAACUGACGCUGAGGCGCGAAAGUGUGGGGAGCAAACAGGAUUAGAAACCCGGGUAGUCC
Molecule: ribosomal RNA, 425 nt
Filed under: uncultured bacterium
Lineage: Bacteria
Description: partial 16S ribosomal RNA
Rfam family: Bacterial small subunit ribosomal RNA
Source: RNAcentral